This 494-nucleotide ribosomal RNA is filed under the name uncultured bacterium. RNAcentral's name for it is "partial 16S ribosomal RNA". It matches the Rfam family "Bacterial small subunit ribosomal RNA", at positions 28 to 507 of the family's 1533-position model. The record is from RNAcentral.
GACGAACGCUGGCGGCGUGCCUAAUACAUGCAAGUCGAACGGUGAAGCGCCUUCCUUUUUGGUGGGUGUGGAUGAGUGGAGAACGGGUGAGUAACACGUGAGUCACCCGCCACCUUCUUCUGGACAACCGCAUGCAAGUGCUGAUAACACGGGAUAUUCUGGGUCUGUCGCAUGAUGGGUCUGGGAAAGAUUUUGUUUCGGUGGGGGAUGGGCUCGCGGCCUAUUAGCUUGUUGGUGGGGUGAUGGCCUACCAAGGCGGUGACGAGUAGCCGGCCUGAGAGGGUCGGCCGACACACAAGUGCUAAGAGGCGGCCCAUACUACUGCGGGAGGCAGCAGGGAGUAUUAUUGAACGAUGGACGCAAGCCUGAUGCAACGACGCCGCGGGAAUGAUGGUCUCCUGCUGGUAGAAAACCGCUUUCGCCAGUGAAGCAAGCCUGCCUCGUUUGUGGAUGUGUUGACGGUAGCUGAUUAGAAAGCGCCGGCUAACUACGUG